UUCCGGUUGAUCCUGCCGGAGGUCACUGCUUUUGGGGUUCGAUUAAGCCAUGCGAGUCGAGAGGGUUCGGCCCUCGGCGUACUGCUCAGUAACACGUGGAUAACCUGCCCUAGGGAAGGGGAUAAUCCCGGGAAACUGGGGAUAAUACCCUAUAGGUUACAGAUGCUGGAAUGCUCUGUAAUCAAAAGUUCCGGCGCCCUAGGAUGGAUCUGCGGCCGAUUAGGUUGUUGUUGGGGUAAUGGCCCAACAAGCCAGUAAUCGGUACGGGUUGUGGGAGCAAGAGCCCGGAGUUGGAUUCUGAGACACGAAUCCAGGCCCUACGGGGCGCAGCAGGCGCGAAAACUUUACAAUGCGGGCAACCGUGAUAAGGGAACCUCGAGUGCCUGUAAAUGCAGGCUGUUCAGAUGCCUAAAACACAUCUGGAGAAAGGGCCGGGCAAGACCGGUGCCAGCCGCCGCGGUAAUACCGGCGGCUCGAGUGGUGGCCACUUUUAUUGGGCUUAAAGCGUUCGUAGCUGGGUUGUUAAGUCUCUUGGGAAAUCUGGCGGCUUAACCGUCAGGCGUCUAAGGGAUACUGGCAAUCUUGGAACCGGGGAGAGGUGAGGGG
RNAcentral lists this ribosomal RNA (606 nucleotides) under uncultured archaeon. RNAcentral describes it as "bacterial SSU rRNA". It matches the Rfam family "Archaeal small subunit ribosomal RNA", at positions 1 to 615 of the family's 1478-position model. The record is from RNAcentral.